This 434-nucleotide long non-coding RNA is filed under the name Cyanistes caeruleus (blue tit). RNAcentral's name for it is "lncRNA (ENSCCEG00000001372.1)". The record is from RNAcentral. Lineage: Eukaryota; Metazoa; Chordata; Aves; Passeriformes; Paridae.
UUCCCCGUGCCCUACGCGAUGGGGAGUGCUGGGGGACCAGAGCCGCCCCCGGGGGUGGGGGUCUAGCGAAGCUUGUGUGGUCUAAAAAAAAUUCCACAUUCACCAUGUAUAUAUGUAAUUACUGAUUUUUGCUGAUCUCUACCGUAUUCUCUCUAGGUGCUUCUCUUUUUACCCCCACAGCUGAAGAAAAUAAGAUUCCUAUAACCUUUCCCAUGUGGACUUCUGGUCUGACUUUUCGUCCUGACGCUCCUUCCCGCACGCCUAUAAUUGUGUGGUACCCUUUUGGAGACGGUGGGAGAAGGAUUGCAUGGAAUCGGCAUACGGGACUGCCAUGUGCUGAGAACUUCUCACGCUGCAGUUUGAUACUGCUGCAGAUUUGCCCCCGUGUCACUAUCCAAAGUCCCAGAGGGGCCCUGAGUCAAAUGAAGGAUUAG